AGUGAACGCUGGCGGUAGGCCUAACACAUGCAAGUCGAACGGCAGCACAGUAAGAGCUUGCUCUUACGGGUGGCGAGUGGCGGACGGGUGAGGAAUACAUCGGAAUCUACUUUUUCGUGGGGGAUAACGUAGGGAAACUUACGCUAAUACCGCAUACGACCUACGGGUGAAAGCAGGGGAUCUUCGGACCUUGCGCGAUUGAAUGAGCCGAUGUCGGAUUAGCUAGUUGGCGGGGUAAAGGCCCACCAAGGCGACGAUCCGUAGCUGGUCUGAGAGGAUGAUACACCACAAUUGAAAUUGAGAAAGGUCCAGACUCCUACGGGAGGCAGCAGUGGGGAAUAUUGGACAAUGGGCGCAAGCCUGAUCCAGCCAUACCGCGUGGGUGAAGAAGGCCUUCGGGUUGUAAAGCCCUUUUGUUGGGAAAGAAAAGCAGCAGGUUAAUACCCCGCUGUUCUGACGGUACCCAAAGAAUAAGCACCGGCUAACUUCGUG
Molecule: ribosomal RNA, 492 nt
Filed under: uncultured bacterium
Lineage: Bacteria
Description: partial 16S ribosomal RNA
Rfam family: Bacterial small subunit ribosomal RNA
Source: RNAcentral